This 281-nucleotide ribosomal RNA is filed under the name uncultured Glomus. RNAcentral describes it as "partial 18S small subunit ribosomal RNA". It matches the Rfam family "Eukaryotic small subunit ribosomal RNA", at positions 591 to 877 of the family's 1831-position model. The record is from RNAcentral. Lineage: Eukaryota; Fungi; Glomeromycota; Glomeromycetes; Glomerales; Glomeraceae.
CCAAUAGCGUAUAUUAAAGUUGUUGCAGUUAAAAAGCUCGUAGUUGAAUUUCGGGAUCAAGGGAUCGGUCAUGCCUUGGUAUGUACUGGUCUUAUUGGUUCUCACCUUCUAAAGAACCAUGAUGUCAUUCAUUUGAUGUUAUGGGGAAUUAGGACUGUUACCUUGAAAAAAUUAGAGUGUUUAAAGCAGGCUCACGCUUGAAUACAUUAGCAUGGAAUAAUGAAAUAGGACGUUUGAUUCUAUUUUGUUGGUUUCUAGGAUCGACGUAAUGAUUAAUAGGG